AGUUUGAUCCUGGCUCAGAUUGAACGCUGGCGGCAUGCCUUACACAUGCAAGUCGAGCGGCAGCGCGGGGGCAACCCUGGCGGCGAGCGGCGAACGGGUGAGUAAUGCAUCGGAACGUGUCCUCUUGUGGGGGAUAACCAGUCGAAAGACUGGCUAAUACCGCAUGAGAUCGAGAGAUGAAAGCAGGGGACCGCAAGGCCUUGCGCGAGAGGAGCGGCCGAUGCCGGAUUAGCUAGUUGGUGGGGUAAUGGCCUACCAAGGCGACGAUCCGUAGCUGGUCUGAGAGGACGACCAGCCACACUGGGACUGAGACACGGCCCAGACUCCUACGGGAGGCAGCAGUGGGGAAUUUUGGACAAUGGGGGCAACCCUGAUCCAGCCAUGCCGCGUGUGUGAAGAAGGCCUUCGGG
RNAcentral lists this ribosomal RNA (410 nucleotides) under uncultured bacterium. Its description in RNAcentral is "bacterial SSU rRNA". It matches the Rfam family "Bacterial small subunit ribosomal RNA", at positions 10 to 422 of the family's 1533-position model. The record is from RNAcentral.